AGAUUAAGUUAUUAAGGGCGCACGGUGGAUGCCUUGGCACUAGAAGCCGAUGAAGGACGUUACUAACGACGAUAUGCUUUGGGGAGCUGUAAGUAAGCUUUGAUCCAGAGAUUUCCGAAUGGGGAAACCCAGCAUGAGUUAUGUCAUGUUAUCGAUAUGUGAAUACAUAGCAUAUCAGAAGGCACACCCGGAGAACUGAAACAUCUUAGUACCCGGAGGAAGAGAAAGAAAAUUCGAUUCCCUUAGUAGCGGCGAGCGAAACGGGAAGAGCCCAAACCAACAAGCUUGCUUGUUGGGGUUGUAGGACACUCUAUACGGAGUUACAAAGGACGACAUUAGACGAAUCAUCUGGAAAGAUGAAUCAAAGAAGGUAAUAAUCCUGUAGUCGAAAAUGUUGUCUCUCUUGAGUGGAUCCUGAGUACGACGGAGCACGUGAAAUUCCGUCGGAAUCUGGGAGGACCAUCUCCUAAGGCUAAAUACUCUCUAGUGACCGAUAGUGAACCAGUACCGUGAGGGAAAGGUGAAAAGCACCCCGGAAGGGGAGUGAAAUAGAACCUGAAACCGUGUGCUUACAAGUAGUCAGAGCCCGUUAAUGGGUGAUGGCGUGCCUUUUGUAGAAUGAACCGGCGAGUUACGAUUUGAUGCAAGGUUAAGCAGUAAAUGUGGAGCCGUAGCGAAAGCGAGUCUGAAUAGGGCGUUUAGUAUUUG
RNAcentral lists this ribosomal RNA (708 nucleotides) under Staphylococcus aureus. RNAcentral describes it as "partial 23S ribosomal RNA". It matches the Rfam family "Bacterial large subunit ribosomal RNA", at positions 1 to 705 of the family's 2925-position model. The record is from RNAcentral. Lineage: Bacteria; Bacillati; Bacillota; Bacilli; Caryophanales; Staphylococcaceae.